ACUGCAGCGGAGAGGCGGGAGUCCGAGCUUGCCCCUACCCUACCCCUGGAUUGUGGGCUCUGAGCUUGGGGCUCGAACCAAUGCGUUCACACCCAAAGAGUGCUGUGUCUGCAUCGCUCAGCCCUGCAGGCUUCGCAGAUUCCUCUGCAAAGAACUGAAUCCGCUUCCCUUUGGUUCUAGCAGAACAUCCAUGGGCGCCUGUCCUACACUGGGUCCUGCUAAGGGUGGAUUUGAUGCUUGCCCUCAAGGAGCUUGAAGUUCUGCAGCAAAUUUCUAUUUCUUAAGAUAAAUAUACAUUACACCCAGUGUGUUGGGGAAAAAUUGUCUGCAGCUGUUGGAGAUGAUGGAGAGCACAGUGCACUCAUGAACUGUUAGUGACUGAUGUGUGAAUUCACCCCACUUCUGAGGAAGACCAGAAUGGCAGCAAGAGCAUUCAUCUUGGAGGGUUACUAGAAGAACCACUAGAGGUAAAGAUAUGAAUCUGUGACAUCCACUGGUCAGAUUGCUACCACUUCUAUUGAUCAUUUCACUGCAACAGUGACAAGUGUCUUACCUGAGCCCCUUCUGGACUUCUGGAAAGGCAUGUCUCGGAGGGAAGUAUGCACUGAUCUCUGGUGGUACUGGAGGGCAUGUGCUUUUAGAAAUGACUUAUUUGAAUGCAAUCCAUAUGUUUUGAAACAGCGCCUUUCUCGGAUGAUGUAGGACAGAAUAUGAGUUUUCCCAAUCAGUUUCUUUGUCAAUAAGGGAAUACUGACCUGGAAUGUAUCAGAAUAUUAUCACCAGUGACAUGCAGACCUGGGAGAAAUUCCUGGAUGAUUAUUAAAGAACCCAGGAGGACCCAUCCUGGACAUACACAGCACCAUCCACUGACUGGAUCCUGAUUAUAAUCUAGAAAGGAAGACAAGGAAGCCUGAUAAGUCAUUCUCUCUCUGUGGGAAUGAAUGCAGAGCCCCUGCCACACUCUUAUGAUACCCCAGGAGUCUGCUUUGCCUCAGGAUUAAUGCACUUAUCCAUGCCGUCCUGAACCUAAUCUUCUGAAAUCAUCUUCUGAAACAAGUAAAACCAAAUCCUUCAUUCCUUAAUUUGUCCCUUACCACCUAUUCAAAUCAACAAAGAGUUAGCUUGGUAUUCUUGUGGGACUCCUGGGUGUGGAGCAUGUCUCCAACUCUUUUGCCUUCACUUGGGGUUCUUUUCCUUCUAUGGCGUUGCCUUGUCCAGCCUUGACAUGAGGGUUUAUGCCUAGUCUUAUUGUAACUUGUUAUGCUGUAUUUGGUGAUAUCCUUAAGAGGCCUGCUUUUUUUUCUUGAGGGGAACAGUGGAGGAGUUGGUCUGGGAGAGAGUGCAGGAAGGGAGAGGGACUGGGAGAAGUGGAAGGAGGAGCUAGUGCAGUAAGGAUGUAAUAUGUAAGAGAAAAAUACGAGGAAUAAAAAUUUUUAAAAAAGGAGAGAAAAGUCUGGCCCGGGAGUUGGCUCCUAAUUACUUCUAGGGACCCAGGGAGGCAGCCAUACUGACUGCUCAGCUGGGAAUAGGACUUUGAUCUCUGGCCAGCACAAUAAACUUAAAUAUUAAAACAUA
Mesocricetus auratus (golden hamster) is the source of this 1575-nucleotide long non-coding RNA. RefSeq lists it as uncharacterized. Lineage: Eukaryota; Metazoa; Chordata; Mammalia; Rodentia; Cricetidae. The transcript is spliced from 7 exons. The record is from RefSeq and is a predicted model, not a curated record.